AACGAACGCUGGCGGCAGGCCUAACACAUGCAAGUCGAACGCUGUAGCAAUACAGAGUGGCAGACGGGUGAGUAACGCGUGGGAACAUGCCCUUCGGUUCGGAAUAACUCAGGGAAACUUGAGCUAAUACCGGAUACGCCCUUAGGGGGAAAGAUUUAUUGCCGAAGGAUUGGCCCGCGUCCGAUUAGCUAGUUGGUGAGGUAAUGGCUCACCAAGGCGACGAUCGGUAGCUGGUCUGAGAGGAUGAUCAGCCACACUGGGACUGAGACACGGCCCAGACUCCUACGGGAGGCAGCAGUGGGGAAUAUUGGACAAUGGGCGCAAGCCUGAUCCAGCCAUGCCGCGUGAGUGAUGAAGGCCCUAGGGUUGUAAAGCUCUUUCGCCAGGGACGAUAAUGACG
RNAcentral lists this ribosomal RNA (400 nucleotides) under uncultured Methylocystis sp. RNAcentral describes it as "bacterial SSU rRNA". It matches the Rfam family "Bacterial small subunit ribosomal RNA", at positions 29 to 456 of the family's 1533-position model. Lineage: Bacteria; Pseudomonadati; Pseudomonadota; Alphaproteobacteria; Hyphomicrobiales; Methylocystaceae. The record is from RNAcentral.